RNAcentral lists this non-coding RNA (23 nucleotides) under Cricetulus griseus (Chinese hamster). The record is from RNAcentral. Lineage: Eukaryota; Metazoa; Chordata; Mammalia; Rodentia; Cricetidae.
AAGAAUGUAACACUUUGAGGGUG